This is a non-coding RNA of Schistocerca gregaria, 82 nucleotides long. NCBI's taxonomy places the organism in Eukaryota, Metazoa, Arthropoda, Insecta, Orthoptera, Acrididae. The record is from the annotation of a RefSeq genome assembly.
GGAGUCGUGGCCGAGUGGUUAAGGCGUCUGACUAGAAAUCCGAUUCCCUCUGGGAGUGUAGGUUCGAGUCCUACUGACUGUG